CCUCCGGGAGGCAGCAGUGAGGAAUAUUGGUCAAUGGGCUUACGCCUGAACCAGCCAAGUCGCGUGAGGGAAGACUGCCCUAUGGGUUGUAAACCUCUUUUGUCAGGGAGCAACGCCGGCUACGUGUAGCCGGACUGAGAGGACCUGAAGAAAAAGCAUCGGCUAACUCCGUGCCAGCAGCCGCGGUAAUACGGAGGGUGAAAGCGUUGUCCGGAAUCAUUGGGCGUAAAGAGUUCGUAGGCGGCAUGUAAAGUCAGGUGUGAAAGGCGCCGGCUCAACCUGUGUAUGGCACUUGAUACUUGCAAGCUGGACUGCGGUAGAGGUAAAGCGAAUUCCUGGUGUAGCGGUGACAUGCUUAGAUAUCAGGAGGAACAUCGGUGGCGUACGCGCUUUACUGGGCCGUAAUUGACGCUGAGGCACGAAAGCCCGGGUAGCAAAUUGGAUUAGAUACCCCUGUAGUC
RNAcentral lists this ribosomal RNA (461 nucleotides) under uncultured bacterium. RNAcentral describes it as "partial 16S ribosomal RNA". It matches the Rfam family "Bacterial small subunit ribosomal RNA", at positions 338 to 795 of the family's 1533-position model. The record is from RNAcentral.